AACUCUAAAUUAGAAGACGAUAUUGUGGAUUUGCAUGCACGAUCGAUGAGGGAUAAUUUGUUGUUCUUUAACAUUCCAGAGAAAACCCUAGCUAACAACAGACGAGAUGAAAACUGUUCAUUAAAAAUUCUCAACUUUUGUGAAAACAAUCUAAAAAUGUCAGAUGCUAAGAACUGACCUGAUAGUUAAAUCUCUUGAUCCAUCCCUGAGUAUCAGAGUAAACAUUUAUGGCGAAAUUGUGACGGUAGAUGGCGCUAAAGUAGUAAUGGCCGACCAGAAUGCUACUAAUGGCGUUAUUCACGUGAUUGACAAAGUGAUGUUUCCCUUACCAGCGCAGAUAUCCCAACCACCGUAGCUGCAGACAAAGAACUGAGCACACUUCUUACAGCUGUUAAAGAAGACAGCUUGCUGGUCCUUUAGCCGGAAGUGGACCUUUCACCCUUUUUGCACCAAGCAAUGCCGCUUUCCAAAAAUUACCACCAGGCGCACUCGAUGACUUACUACGUAACAAAACAGCACUUGUAGGUGCGUCAGAAAAAUUCAAUUUUUUUUUUCAAAAACUACAAUUAAGACAAUGAGAUGCAACUACAUAUACAUACAUAUACGAUCCGAACUUUAAAAUGACUGGUAUUUGAACAGCCAAAAUAAUUAAGUAGUUUUUCAAAUGACUUCUUUGCUUUAACGUGGUUUGUAAGCUUCAUAAUCACGGAAACGAUAAUAAAGACCACAAUUUUUUCAGGUGUGAAGAAUGCAAUAAAUUUUGGUGAAAAUGUGAAAGUAGAAAAUAAACAACUUGAUAAUCUUUCAAGCAAUUGUUAGACAUAUUCUGACCAAUGAAAUUACCUGACGGCAGUUAAUAGUGAUACAACUCAUUAUGUGCUUAUCUUUCUGGAAUUUCCCCUGGUUGAAUGCAUGUCGAAAAGUACUGUCACCUCACAUUAAAAAGUUCAUUUAUUACACAUUUAUUAUCUUCAAGUGCACGUGUCUCUCAAAUAUCUUUGUAGUCUUGAAAAAUCUGAGUUAGUGUAUUUGGAGGAUAUGCAGUUCGGUCUUUGUGUUGAAUUUUAACAAAAUAGCACCGGAUUCAAAAACUGAAGAAAAAAAUGCGCUGGAUCACUAAUGAUUAAUUAAGGUGCAAAUAUUAUUUCAAAUAGAAGCAUCUUUCAUAUUUCUAACACACAACAUUUCUCCAAGUUUUGACUAAGACGCUUUUUAAACAUUUAUUCU
This is a long non-coding RNA of Ruditapes philippinarum (Manila clam), 1227 nucleotides long. RefSeq lists it as uncharacterized. The record is from RefSeq and is a predicted model, not a curated record. Lineage: Eukaryota; Metazoa; Mollusca; Bivalvia; Venerida; Veneridae. The transcript is spliced from 3 exons.